GGCAUGUGGUUGGGUGUCUUUCUGGGGGAGAGCUUUGUGGGUUUAUAGUAAUGUCUAAAAAAGAAUUUAUUUUCCUCAAAUUUGUUGAACAAAUUCACGUUGUCUCAUAGUUUAAUAUCUCCAAUCUUACUUCCAAAGUAUUACUUGAAGAUUUUCUUGAAAGAAGGACAGUACUGGUUCUUUGUAGUGUCUGCAAAUGAUCUUUUGGGGGGAGAGUUAAUCAAAAUUUACUGCAUUCUGCAGAAGUUAAUCUUUAAUAUUGCUUGAAAGAUGUUUUUACAGAUUAUGCUCCUGCCUGCUUAUGGAAUGGCUUUCAAAGCCUUAUUGGUUGUUCCUUGUUCAUGUUGAUUGUUCCCAGUGCUUUGCCCGGUGUAUAGGGAAACAUUGUAGAACUUGAAUAAAACCAUGACAUCUUAGACAAAGGAUGGUGAUUAUGUAAGUGCUGAACAAGAACUUCUUCUAUAUGCCCUUCUGCUGCAACAGAAUAUUAAAACUGGUAGGUGGCAGCAGCAGCAGAAGAAACUCAUGUGACUGUGACCUGAGAAACCUACAGUACUGGGAGAGAUGGAUUGCAAAAUAUUAACUGGAGUAAUGGGGACGGAGGAGAGAGGCAGAGUCCCUGAACUGUCCUUUUGAAUGGAAUGUAAUGCUUGUGAAAAGUUGAUGGAUCAGCAGUUGCAGAGACUGAACUCCUCUACCUGCAGGAAAGGUUUUUCUGCAUCAGCAGGAUGCGUGCUUUCCUUCUUAUUGGGACACUUAUCUCUUGGUAAUGCCCCCUUCACAGUAAAGGGAAGAAGGGACAGACCAAAAGUAAAGUGGAAUGGGGAAAUGUCCAG
Molecule: long non-coding RNA, 836 nt
Organism: Cygnus atratus (black swan)
Lineage: Eukaryota; Metazoa; Chordata; Aves; Anseriformes; Anatidae
Exons: 3
Source: RefSeq, a predicted model, not a curated record